CCUACGGGAGGCAGCAGUGAGGAAUAUUGGUCAAUGGACGAGAGUCUGAACCAGCCAAGUCGCGUGAAGGAUGACUGCCCUAUGGGUUGUAAACUUCUUUUAUAUGGGAAUAAAACGUUGCACUUGUGGCCUUUUGUAUGUACCAUAUGAAUAAGGAUCGGCUAACUCCGUGCCAGCAGCCGCGGUAAUACGGAGGAUCCGAGCGUUAUCCGGAUUUAUUGGGUUUAAAGGGAGCGUAGGUGGGUUGUUAAGUCAGUUGUGAAAGUUUGGGGCUCAACCGUAAAAUUGCAGUUGAAACUGGCAGGCUUGAGUACAGUAGAGGUGGGCGGAAUGCGAGGUGUAGCGGUGAAAUGCUUAGAUAUCACGAAGAACUCCGAUGGCGAAGGCAGCUCACUGGACUGAAACUGACGCUGAGGCUCGAAAGUGUGGGUAUCAAACAGGAUUAGAUACCCGAGUAGUC
This 460-nucleotide ribosomal RNA is filed under the name uncultured bacterium. RNAcentral's name for it is "partial 16S ribosomal RNA". It matches the Rfam family "Bacterial small subunit ribosomal RNA", at positions 338 to 795 of the family's 1533-position model. The record is from RNAcentral.